Molecule: small RNA, 28 nt
Filed under: Bombyx mori (domestic silkworm)
Lineage: Eukaryota; Metazoa; Arthropoda; Insecta; Lepidoptera; Bombycidae
Description: ovarian small RNA-33697
Source: RNAcentral
UGCCAUCAACGUGGGGGCAGAGGGAGCC